This 276-nucleotide ribosomal RNA is filed under the name Pouzolzia hirta. RNAcentral's name for it is "Gonostegia hirta partial 26S ribosomal RNA". It matches the Rfam family "Eukaryotic large subunit ribosomal RNA", at positions 1 to 274 of the family's 3401-position model. The record is from RNAcentral. Lineage: Eukaryota; Viridiplantae; Streptophyta; Magnoliopsida; Rosales; Urticaceae.
GAGACACCAGGUCAGGCGGGGCUACCCGCUGAGUUUAAGCAUAUCAAUAAGCGGAGGAAAAGAAACUUACGAGGAUUCCCUUAGUAACGGCGAGCGAACCGGGAACAGCCCAGAUUGAGAAUCCGGCGCCUCAGGUGCCGGAAUUGUAGUCUGAAGAAGCGUCCUCAGCGGCGGACCGGGCCCAAGUCUCCUGGAAAGGGGCGCCAGAGAGGGUGAAAGCCCCGUCGUGCCCGGACCCUGUCGCACCACGAGGCGUUUUCGUCGAGUCGGGUUGUU